Long non-coding RNA from Triplophysa dalaica, 988 nucleotides. RefSeq lists it as uncharacterized. The transcript has 3 exons. The record is from RefSeq and is a predicted model, not a curated record. Lineage: Eukaryota; Metazoa; Chordata; Actinopteri; Cypriniformes; Nemacheilidae.
CCACGACAGCGGCUCCACGCCGCUCACCGGUGUCAGCAACUUCACCGCCGGUUUCCGCAACACCACAGGCUCCUGUGCGGAGCAAAAAUCACUGCCCGGUCCCGCUUCUGACGCAGACGACUCCCCCGCGUUCUCAGAGGUGGAGGACCCGUUUAGAUAUCUCCAGUGGCAUUCAGUCUUUACUAUGGGGACGUCAACCAUGCACAGAGUCUGGCCGGCGAGGUGUGGAACUGGUCCCGGCAGCUGGUGGUGGGCAGAGCAUGCCCUGUGGCAGUGCUAGGGGAGGACCGGGAGGACCAGGGCCUCGGCCUGCUCUCACCCUUGUCUCGCCCGUGCUAAUGGAAUAAGGCUGGGCCGCCCAUAUGGCACUUGUGGGAACAGUGGGACUCUGGGGGCUGGCAUAGAGAGCCACCACUCUGCUGUUAGAUAUUAAACAGGACAGGUCCUCACUGGGCUCUGCCCAUAGCCGGACAGCGUAAUGGAUGGGUUUGGUGAUUGGACAGCACUUGGAGCGGCCUGUGUGAACCCACCAAUGAGCAGAGCCAAAUAGUUGCAGCUGUGGAAAAUCAGGCCUGGAGAGUGUCCUUGACAAGUCUAGUUUACUUUAGUUACACCUUUUCCAUUGACCGUACGUGCUUAAACAUCUUUACAACUAACUGGAUUGGUAGCACCUAACUCAACUUUGUAGACCACACUGAGAAAGAAGGACGUUAUCAACAAGUGAUCAAUCAGUAAAGAUUCUUCAUCUUGAACCAAGGUGAUGAUGAUGCCUAGUCCGUUGUGGUUUGAGAGUGGUAGUACAAACCCAGCAGGACAACAGAACGUCCUUCAAGGGAAGCUCAAGGAAAAGUUUCCCUGCCAGAAUCCAUCAAUGAGUCAAAUGGAGAGAAUGUGGAUCAGUGCAGAGAGUUGACUGGAGUGGGGAGAAUCAGUACACUUGGCACCACAUCUAGUUUCCUGGAUGAAUUUCUAUGUUCUAAUGGAUAAA